GAGGGUAUAGGUCAGUGACAGAGUGCGUACUUCACAUGCACAGGGUCCUGGGUUCAAUCCCCAGCACCUUCA
RNAcentral lists this transfer RNA (72 nucleotides) under Camelus bactrianus (Bactrian camel). It matches the Rfam family "tRNA". Rfam says of the family: Transfer RNA (tRNA) molecules are approximately 80 nucleotides in length. Their secondary structure includes four short double-helical elements and three loops (D, anti-codon, and T loops). RNAcentral also lists the same sequence under 3 other names. Lineage: Eukaryota; Metazoa; Chordata; Mammalia; Artiodactyla; Camelidae. The record is from Rfam by way of RNAcentral.